Molecule: ribosomal RNA, 433 nt
Filed under: uncultured bacterium
Lineage: Bacteria
Description: partial 16S ribosomal RNA
Rfam family: Bacterial small subunit ribosomal RNA
Source: RNAcentral
AACGAACGCUGGCGGCAUGCCUAACACAUGCAAGUCGAACGACACCUUCGGGUCUCGUGGCGCACGGGUGCGUAACGCGUGGGAACCUGCCCUUAGGUUCGCAACAACCCCCCGAAAGGAGUGCUAAUCCCGGAUAAACUCUCCGGAACAACGUAUUCUCGCCAUUGGAUGGGACCGGGUGAGGUUAGCUAUUUGGUAGGGUAAAGGCAUACCAACGCGACGCUCCAUAGCUGGUCUGAGAGGAUGAUCAGCCACCCUGGGACUGAGACACGGCCCAGUGUCCUACGGGAGGCAGCAGUGGGGAAUAUUGGACAAUGGGCGAGAGCCUGAUCCAGCAAUGCCGCGUGAGUGAAGAAGGCCUUAGGGUUGUAAAGCUCUUUUACCCGGGAUGAUAAUGACAGUACCGGGAGAAUAAGCUCCGGCUAACUCCGUG